This 283-nucleotide ribosomal RNA is filed under the name Rhizophagus fasciculatus. Lineage: Eukaryota; Fungi; Glomeromycota; Glomeromycetes; Glomerales; Glomeraceae. The record is from RNAcentral.
CAGUCGUACCGGCGGAUAAUCAGCCUUUCGGGUGCGAUUCUGUGGGGCGUGAGGAGCUUAACCGCCUUUCAUGUUUUGCAUAUUCGUGCACAUUUGGUGUACUUGUCCGUGUGGUAGGUUAACAUCAAUUUCGGUCGUCAUAAAAUGAUUGGAGGAUUGUAGCAUUGGUCUCGUAUCGAAGUGUUACAGACUCUGGUAGAUGUGACGAUUGGGAUUGAGGUAUUGCAACGGAUACCCCUCGGGGGCUACCCGUCUGAUCUCUGAAGUUGCUCCGGUGCCGAAG